CACCGCAAAGAGAAAAGAGUUCUUGUCCACCAAACAAUGGCGAAUAAAAUAGACUACCGACACCACCAUCCAAACACACACUCACUGCGUGAAAGAGAAAGAAAAGCUUCCAUGUGAAGAAGUGCUUAUGACUUGAAUAAACAGUAGCCCGAUAAAGAAACAAGGAUUAUAACUUACACCUUCUACAGAGAAAAAGAAAAAAGAGAGUUGGGUUUUCAUUUUUCCUGUGAAGUGAGCCAAAAGACAGCCAAGUUAAAGGGGUAGCAUAUUUCUUACUUGUACAUUGAAAAAAAAAAAAAAAAAAAAAGGCAUUUCAUGAGAUAGAAUCAAUAACUAUUGUUUUUACUUUGGUAGGACAAAUUUUUCAAAUUUUUUUUUUUAAUACAAAGAAACUGAUAUUUAUUUGUAGUGGCUCAAAAAGUGAGCAGUAUCAACUUUGUGAGGCUCAUGUAGCAGAUUCAAGGAGUGAGGAACCAGAUCUCUCAAGAACUUAAGGUAAGGUUUUUUUAUUAAUGAAUUUAGUUUGAUUUUUUCUGGGAUUUUCUUGAAAUUCUCUUUUCUUGUGAUGGAAUUUGAUGAAGUAUGAAAUUCCUUUUUUUUUUCCCCGUGUUUUAUUAUGUGUUCUUUUGUUUUUUUCAUGCUUUGAUUUGCUGGAUUUUUAUGGGUUUUCUUUAUAUUCAGAAGAAGAAAUAAGUUCUUACUUUUUACUCGUGUUCGGAUAGCAUGAUUCAUGAAUUUAGGAUAUAUGUAUAGGCAUGUUCUUGUAUUGAAUCUAUAAUCUGUUUACUGGGAGGGUUG
Molecule: long non-coding RNA, 798 nt
Filed under: Olea europaea subsp. europaea
Lineage: Eukaryota; Viridiplantae; Streptophyta; Magnoliopsida; Lamiales; Oleaceae
Source: RNAcentral